RNAcentral lists this ribosomal RNA (443 nucleotides) under uncultured bacterium. RNAcentral's name for it is "partial 16S ribosomal RNA". It matches the Rfam family "Bacterial small subunit ribosomal RNA", at positions 338 to 795 of the family's 1533-position model. The record is from RNAcentral.
CCUACGGGUGGCAGCAGUGGGGAAUAUUGGACAAUGGGCGGAACCCUGAUCCAGCGACGCCGCGUGAGUGAAGAAGUAUUUCUGUAUGUAAAGCUCUAUCAGCAGGGAAGCAAGAAAUGACGGUACCUGACUAAGAAGCUACGGCUAACUACGUGACAGCAGCCGCGGGAAUACGUAGGGGGCAAGCGUUAUCCGGAUUUACUGGGUGUAAAGGGAGCGUAGGCGGGUACGCAAGUCUGGCGUGAAAGGCGUGGGCCCAACCCCCGGACUGCUUUUGAAACUGUAUAACUAGAGUGCAGGAGAGGUAAGUGGAAUUCCUAGUGUAGCGGUGAAAUGCGUAGAUAUUAGGAAGAACACCAGUUGCGAAGGCAGCUUACUGGACUGUAACUGACGUUGAGGCUCGAAAGCGUGGGGAGCAAACAGGAUUAGAUACCCGAGUAGUC